RNAcentral lists this ribosomal RNA (491 nucleotides) under uncultured bacterium. RNAcentral describes it as "partial 16S ribosomal RNA". It matches the Rfam family "Bacterial small subunit ribosomal RNA", at positions 29 to 506 of the family's 1533-position model. The record is from RNAcentral.
AGUGAACGCUGGCGGUAGGCCUAACACAUGCAAGUCGAACGGCAGCACAGUAAGAGCUUGCUCUUACGGGUGGCGAGUGGCGGACGGGUGAGGAAUACAUCGGAAUCUACUUUUUCGUGGGGGAUAACGUAGGGAAACUUACGCUAAUACCGCAUACGACCUACGGGUGAAAGCAGGGGAUCUUCGGACCUUGCGCGAUUGAAUGAGCCGAUGUCGGAUUAGCUAGUUGGCGGGGUAAAGGCCCACCAAGGCGACGAUCCGUAGCUGGUCUGAGAGGAUGAUCAGCCACACUGGAACUGAGACACGGUCCAGACUCCUACGGGAGGCAGCAGUGGGGAAUAUUGGACAGUGGGCGCAAGCCUGAUCCAGCCAUACCGCGUGGGUGAAGAAGGCCUUCGGGUUGUAAAGCCCUUUUGUUGGGAAAGAAAAGCAGCAGGUUAAUACCCCGCUGUUCUGACGGUACACAAAGAAUAAGCACCGGCUAACUUCGU